AGCAUUUUAUUUGGCAGCGUUUAGAAGUCUUCGGUUCCCAGAACACGUUUACUGACCACUUCGCCCUUUUGUAGGUGCACGGAUUUGUUUACUUGACCCGUUUCCUCUUCCAUAGGGCAGAUAGCCGAUAGGUACCUACGUUUCUGAUUUGUGUUAAUUCCGGGUCCCUCUGGUUCAGCUGGAUGUGUAUGUCUUUCUCUCUCUCCAUAUUUGUUUUCAAAUUCUGGAUCUGUCUCAAAAUUCUUUUCCUCUUCCUGCUCCGUGAACGAAACUCUACCCUCUUCUCUGUUCUCCCCUCAAUUUCGGCAUUCACCUCUCCUUCCUUCUCCGCCAACGGUUACAACUUUAACCACCCCACCAUCUACCUUUGCCGGAGCCAAAGCCCCGGCACCGUCCCUGAAAAGCCGACCCAACGCUGUCCGGAGCUCGACGACUAUGCUCUGCAUAAUCUCGAUUGGAACUCCAUCAUGAAUGACACCGGCGACAUGUACUGUUACAACUUCAACUACCCCACCAUCGACAACCACCACAAUAACAACAUCAACGGCUUAGAUUCUAUCAUCGUAGAUCUCAUCCGCACCGGCGAUCGCUUCGACACCAACCGGCGCAGGUGAUAUUGGCGUGGAUCAAUCAAGGCUACGAACUCCCACCGGAAAGCCCCUUCAGCGAGCGGCGUUUCACUUCAGUCCCUUUUCUCCGGUUUGAACCCGCCGCCAUUCACCUCUCCUUCCUUCUCCGGUGGCGCCCGAUCAUGAACGGUGCUUCCGAAAAAUCCAUCAGUAAGAUAUUCUCCUCCUCCUACCUUUUGCUCAUUUAUCUUUGACCAUUUUCUUCUCAACCUUUCUAAUUUCUUUCGUUCUCUCUGAGGGUGAUUGCAGAGCACUUGACAGUAGAAGAAGCUGCUAGCAGGGUUAUUGAAAAGGAAUUGGCAAAAAUCAUUGAAACAAAAAGAAAAUUAAAACAAAGAAUAUGAUAUUUUAGAUUAUAGUUUCUGGUUUUGUAUUGUGUUUUAUCUUAAUAUAUAAGUAGCUAGCUAUUUCAAUUUGUGGAGUCUUUGCUGUUAUCUUCAUGUAAAGUGAUAUGUGAAAAGUCUUUCUAUAUAUGCAUGGCUAAUCAGAUUUUGUCAGCGGUUUUAGCAACGAUGGUGAAUGAGUUUAGUUUUUGCAUUCAUUUUUCAGGGUAUUGGUAUUAAGGAAAGGUAUUACCUUGUGCUGAGACAGAAGCUUUGAGGGUUCUUUGUGUGAUCCUGUUAAUUCCUCACCAUGAUGUUUUGUCAUGCUUUAUUAUGUAAUCUGACAUUCUUAGUAAAACCUUGGUUUUUUCCUGUAAAUAUUGCAGGGCUUUUCCAUAGGAUCGAGAUGCACAGAUUGAAAGCAUUUUGACAGAACAUUGCAGAUCGAUGAACUCUUACAUGUGAUAUGGACGGAUCUCUAGCCUUUUCAUGGAUCACGAACAUAGAACUUUGAGCUCCAUCAGAUAUGGUCGGUUCAUGCUUCCUGAAUCUGGGUUUUGUUCAAAUGAGGGCCUGAAGAUCUGUAUAUCUCAAGACUGAGAGAUCAAAGAUGGUAUGUCUAAAGGUCUUCUCAAGGAAUCCAGCAAGAAUCAAUAUUUAUUUACUUCAAUGGAGUAAAAUAAAAAACCUGCAAGGUUGACAUAAAUGUUUGUUGCCUUAUUCUAUGAGUAUAUGGCUGUUCAAAUACAGGUACGUUUAUUUGGUCCUUGCUUGCUCUCUUUUGCUUUGUAUUGUCAGUGGUCCUUAGUUUCCAUAUCAGUGUCAUCUUACACUGAUGUUUAAACUAUUUUUAUUUUAGUUCUAUCUCUUAAAAUUAAAUUUAUUAGCACUGAAUUUUCUAUAAUAAUAUGAGAGGUUGAAAUAUAUAGAUUGUUGUUGGGAGAAGGAUCAUCUGUACUUCGUUUCUGACGUGCUGCUCUCUGUCUUGGUUUCCCUUGCAAUAAUUUGUAAGAUAAAAUGCAUAGAUGUACUGAAUAGUGGCUCAUAUCUGCAUAGUAUCUAUAAUAGAUACAAAGGACUAGCUUGGCUGUCUUCUCUAUGAUCUUGAAGGCUUGGCCAAGGCUUUCGCUUGCAUCUGAUAAGUCAUUUCACGAUCGAUGAGACCAUUUUUAAUCUAUAAAAUGGAGGCUGCAGAAAAGCUCUCUUGCUCGCUUGCCUACUCCACUGCCGCCUGCCGCCCAAGAUGUUGUUUUUGUUCAUUCUGAUUUUGAAGUGUUGAAGUAGAGUUUGUGAAGGUAAUAAGGAUAAUAUAGUCAAAGAAUCAAUGUUUCACCAACUUUAAUUUACCACACACCCUUGAAAUAGUUCUCAUGGAUGCCAAGCUAUGUUUAAAAUUCAUAUUUCAUUUUUUACUGGGUACACCUAAGACAUACUUAAUUUUCUGGUCUAUCAUAGGGAAAUAAGAUUCACGCUACCACCAAGAAGAAAUGGUAAGGACAUAAUUCAAAUCCAUGAGUUAGAGAUAAUUGAUAUUUUGGACAUAUUCACUUCCUCUACUCAUGGCUUUCGUUUCUGUUUCCAUUCCACUGCAUAAUUCUUUUCUAAAAUCUUGAUAUCUGCUGUGAAUCCAGAUCCAGAUGGAUGAGAUUAAUACACUAUUUUAUCGGUUAAGCCCGUACCUAUGUGAUUUUUUAUUAUUAGUUUGUAAUUUCAGAUGCUAACUUAAUACAUUGUUCCCAAACUCUUAUUUUCCUUAUGUUAAAAUCUGAAUCAUGUAUUAGACUAUUCCUCUUCUCAUUAACCAUGUGUGUAUUUUUGCUGCAGAUGAGCCCUAUGAUUCAUCAGGUACUAUUUCUUUAUCACACAUUGGGUUUUACAUGGUGAAAGCUGCACAAGAAGAGAAUUUUAAACGGAUGAACCAGUAAAUAUCUAGAUUAACCCUUUCUUCUCAUCUUCAAUGUUUAAAAAGUCAUUGUUUAAUGGCUUUUUAUUUUCUCUCUGAAAUAGCAUUCACCAUUGCAGAAGAUUCAUAUGCAUUGCUCCUUUAUGCUAUUGAGUAUCUAUUUCUACUUAUAUUAAGUAUCUAUUUAUGGUUUUCAAUUUAUAUGAAGUUGUAUGUAUGUUGGAGUUAAAAUAUACCCUCUUUGAACAAUGCCUUGCAAAUACAGUUAGGAGAAAAAUGCAAGAUUGACCGUUCGUGAUUAUGAGUACAUUGAUGUCAACUUUUCAGGAAAUGGCUACAUCAUUGUAUGUUCCCUUGCUACUGAGUUCAAAAUAUCUCAUCCCACAUAUCACUAUACUUUCUUGGUAGAGAUUUUACCACUGAUAUUUGUUUGUUAAAUGGAAGAGCUGAAGCGAGUUGUGAGGCUAUUGUGCAGUGCACUUAAGGGAUCCAUGGAAAGAAUGGAGCUGCAAUUAAGCGAGAUGAGGAGCAGUGUUUGGAGUUGUCUUAAUAUAGUUUCGGAUUUAGGUUCAAGUCAUAGGGCCCUACGGUCACUGUGAGAUAGUUUGUAUACCAAUUAGUCAGUUAUGUGUGUAUCAAUUUGUUGAUCUUUGGUCCGUUUUGUUGACCUUUUUUCAAAUUGUCAAUUUGUUUAUCAUUGUCACGGUUGUCCAAGGAUAUAUUCCUUUCCCUGGAUGACUACCAAAGUGAUGAAGUAAUUAAUUUAAUAAUCUAAUCAAGAAUGCUUAGAAAAGAUUGUGGCCUAUCGAUUAUUACAUGUUGUAUAUCGGUUAUUUUUAGAGGUUUGCAGGUGAUUUUUCAGUAUGUCA
Molecule: long non-coding RNA, 3724 nt
Organism: Lotus japonicus
Lineage: Eukaryota; Viridiplantae; Streptophyta; Magnoliopsida; Fabales; Fabaceae
Exons: 5
Source: RefSeq, a predicted model, not a curated record